UACGUAGGGUGCAAGCGUUAAUCGGAAUUACUGGGCGUAAAGCGUGCGCAGGCGGUUUUGUAAGUUUGUCGUGAAAUCCCCGGGCUUAACCUGGGAAUUGCGAUGAAGACUGCAAGGCUAGAAUCUGGCAGAGGGGGGUAGAAUUCCACGUGUAGCAGUGAAAUGCGUAGAGAUGUGGAGGAACCCCGAUGGCGAAGGCAGCCCCCUGGGUCAAGAUUGACGCUCAUGCACGAAAGCGUGGGGAGCAAACAGG
This 253-nucleotide ribosomal RNA is filed under the name uncultured bacterium. RNAcentral describes it as "partial 16S ribosomal RNA". It matches the Rfam family "Bacterial small subunit ribosomal RNA", at positions 524 to 776 of the family's 1533-position model. The record is from RNAcentral.